This 947-nucleotide long non-coding RNA is filed under the name Cricetulus griseus (Chinese hamster). Its description in RNAcentral is "lncRNA (ENSCGRG00015040260.1)". Lineage: Eukaryota; Metazoa; Chordata; Mammalia; Rodentia; Cricetidae. The record is from RNAcentral.
UCAGAAGAUGUUGGAUCCUAGAUGUAGAGUUACAGGCUAUCAUGAUCCACUUCAGCUGGAUGUUGGGACUGAACCCAGGACCACUGGAAGCUCCAGAAUUGCUGAAUGUUUUAAGGGGAGGUGAAACACUACACCCUCUAGGCAAAGUCCUUAAAACUCAGGAAGCAGACAUCGUAAAACCUUUGCUGAAACCGACAAGAUUCACUAGGCCCUCCCUCCCCAGGCUGAUAUGAGCAGAAUGGGCUGCUGAGACACACAGACUGACUAGGCUGCCUGCUUCUGGAAUAAGACAUGCUUCAGCCUGGACUCUAUUAAAACCUUAGCUUGACCUGGAAUAAACGGCAUGAUGACUGGGAGGCAGGGGGAGAUAAAGGUGCCUGUCACCAAGCCUGGAGACCUGAGUUCCAUCUCUGGGACCUGAGAGGUGGGAGGAGAGGACUGUAUUCUAUGUUCCCAUGACAACCUCUUGGACAAUGGUGCUCUUGUUGGGCACUGAUAGGAAUAUAUACUAGGAAGGCACAGAUUGGAGCCCUAGAGACCUCUGUCCUCUUCAGUCCCUGCCACCAAGCCUCCUGUUGCCAUGCUUCCCUGCCACGACAGAACCAUGUACUUAAAUAAUCUUCUUUAAGUUGCCAUGUUCUUGGUGGUUUAUCAUAGUGACAGGUCAGGGAAACUGGUCGUACAAACUUCUGGGUAAUUUGAACGACAUGGACAGGUGUGAAGGGAAACAACUCAUGUCUAUGUCUAGUGGGAGGUACAAAUUAAUAAGAACUUUCUCAAAAGUAUAUGGAACCAAGAGCUCCCGGCUUGCUAGCUUCACUCGGAGAAUCCAUCCCAAGAAUAUUACCAGUUGGUCAUGACGUCUAACAAUAAUGUCUACAGGAUGUCUUAGCUUCCUGCUUGCGGUUCCAGAGAUAAGUCCUCAGCUUCUACUUAUGGAUAGGUAA